This 429-nucleotide ribosomal RNA is filed under the name Actinomycetes bacterium. RNAcentral describes it as "Actinobacteria bacterium partial 16S ribosomal RNA". It matches the Rfam family "Bacterial small subunit ribosomal RNA", at positions 355 to 776 of the family's 1533-position model. The record is from RNAcentral. Lineage: Bacteria; Bacillati; Actinomycetota; Actinomycetes.
UAGGGAAUCUUCCGCAAUGGGCGAAAGCCUGACGGAGCAACGCCGCGUGAGUGAUGAAGGUCUUCGGAUCGUAAAACUCUGUUAUUAGGGAAGAACAAAUGUGUAAGUAACUAUGCACGUCUUGACGGUACCUAAUCAGAAAGCCACGGCUAACUACGUGCCAGCAGCCGCGGUAAUACGUAGGUGGCAAGCGUUAUCCGGAAUUAUUGGGCGUAAAGCGCGCGUAGGCGGUUUUUUAAGUCUGAUGUGAAAGCCCACGGCUCAACCGUGGAGUGUCAUUGGAAACUGGAAAACUUGAGUGCAGAAGAGGAAAGUGGAAUUCCAUGUGUAGCGGUGAAAUGCGCAGAGAUAUGGAGGAACACCAGUGGCGAAGGCGACUUUCUGGUCUGUAACUGACGCUGAUGUGCGAAAGCGGGGGGAUCAAACAGG